CCUACGGGUGGCAGCAGUGGGGAAUAUUGCACAAUGGGGGAAACCCUGAUCCAGCGACGCCGCGUGAGCGAUGAAGUAUUUCGGUAUGUAAAGCUCUAUCUGCAGGGAAAUAGAUGACGGUACCUGUCCACGCAUCUCCGUCCAACUACGUGCCAGCAGCCGCGGUAAUACGGCGGCGGCCAGCGUUAUCCGGAUGUACUGGGUGUAAUGGGAGCGUAGACGGUGAUGAAAGCCAGAUGGGAAAGUCCGGGGCUCAACCCCAGGGCUGUAUUUGGAACUGUGUGGCUGGAGUGGCGGAGAGGCAGGCGGAAUUCGUAGUGUAGCGGUGAAAUGCGUAGAUAUUAGGAGGAACACCAGUUGCGAAGGCGGCCUGCUGGACGAUGACUGACGUUGAGGCUCGAAAGCGUGGGGAGCAAACAGGAUUAGAUACCCCAGUAGUC
RNAcentral lists this ribosomal RNA (440 nucleotides) under uncultured bacterium. Its description in RNAcentral is "partial 16S ribosomal RNA". It matches the Rfam family "Bacterial small subunit ribosomal RNA", at positions 338 to 795 of the family's 1533-position model. The record is from RNAcentral.